Molecule: long non-coding RNA, 1357 nt
Organism: Anolis carolinensis (green anole)
Lineage: Eukaryota; Metazoa; Chordata; Lepidosauria; Squamata; Anolidae
Exons: 2
Source: RefSeq, a predicted model, not a curated record
CUGAGAAGGAAUGCAACUUCCUCCCGACAAACUGCAGUGCAAACGUUUGUCCGAAUUUCCCAUGGCAAAAAAUGAGUCAUGUCCUGAUAAAAUUGUGAAGACAGGCAUCCAGACGGGUUACGCUCUGUGUCUCGAUGGACCUUGUGAACGACUCUUGCAAGAAUGUGAUGCCUUUUCGACAAGGAGAGGAUGGAGUGGGACAGAUUUCAUAUCUCUUCUCCCCUUUGCAUCCAAAGAAAUUUUCAGUUUCUGUCAUGGCCUAGAGGGAGGGCCCAAGUUUGCCCAUGCUUGUUUUAAACCCAGAAGAGACUGAAUGACCGUCCCAGAAAUUUAGAACUGGCACCAGAUGCAAAGAAGGAUGUGAUUGACACAUCCCAUUGGGCAGCUGACCCCUCUGAAGGAGACUUACCUGGGGACCAGGGAUUGAAGAGCAGGACGAACUCUCCCAGGUCGAAGCUGGAUCCUUGGCCUUCUGUGGAGACGUCUACGGUCAGGCGGUAGCGGCCGAUGCGGGCAUCCGGAGGAGGGAAGACGAAGAGGGUCAGGGAGGACCCAUCCUGGCCUUCCACAGCAGAGCUCCAGACGGUCUCUUCCAGGGAGCAAGAGAGGGGGAAGGAGGACUUGGUCCCAGAUGUCUCAAUGGGGCAAGGACCUGCAGGACAAAGGAGAAGCAUAGAAUCAUAGAAUCAUAGAGUUGGACGAGACCUCAUGGACCAUCUAGUCCAACCCCUUUCUGCCAAGAAGCAGGACAAUCACAUUCAAAGCACCCCCUACAGAUGACCAUCCAUCCUUUGUUUAAAAGCCUCCAAAGAAGGAGUCUCCACCACACUCCAGGGCAGAGAAUUCCACAGCUCUAUCUCACAGUCAGGAAGUUCUUGGAAUCUACUUUCCUGUAGUUUGAAGCCGUUGUUCCGCGUCCUAGUUUCCAGGGCAGCAGAAAGCAAGCUUACUCCUUCCUCCCUAUGACUUCCCCUCCCCACACAUCAUGUUGGAUUAUGGUUAUAUGUGUAUGAAAUGUAAAUCAAGUGUUUUCUGUUGUUAGGCAAGAGUGUGUGUUUCAGUAAUGAAACAGUUAACAGCAGGGUUGUUGUAUGUCUUUCGGGCUGUUAACAGUUAACAGCAGGCUAGUUUUGACUGACAGCCUGCUAUGACCUGUCAGGCAUGAUUUCCGCCUUUGGAGGUCGGAACUUCCUUCGGACUGAGCAAUGUGUUUUUUUCUUAUCUCUGAGUGAGUUGAGCUGGUGCUUGCCGAGGCAAGAGGCUGUAAAUAGAAGAAUGCCAGCUCAGAGCGAUGGCUUUUCCUAUGCUUUGUAAAUAUGUUUGUAGAUAUUAAAAUAAAUGUUUGGACUUCAGACUA